RNAcentral lists this ribosomal RNA (223 nucleotides) under uncultured bacterium. RNAcentral's name for it is "partial 16S ribosomal RNA". It matches the Rfam family "Bacterial small subunit ribosomal RNA", at positions 524 to 746 of the family's 1533-position model. The record is from RNAcentral.
UACGUAGGCAGCAAGCGUUGUUCGGAAUUACUGGGCGUAAAGCGAGUGUAGGCGGUUCACCAAGUCUGUUGUGAAAUCUCCCGGCUCAACUGGGAGGGUGCGGCGGAAACUGGUGGACUAGAGUGCGAGAUGGGAGAGCGGAAUUCCUGGUGUAGCGGUGAAAUGCGUAGAUAUCAGGAGGAACACCGGUGGUGAAGACGGCUCUCUGGAUCGCGACUGACGC